UACAACAGGUGUAGUAGACCUAACAGUGAAAUGCUGAAUACAACAGGUGUAGUAGACCUCACAGUGAAAUGCUGAAUACAACAGGUGUAGUAGACCUUACAAUGAAAUGCUGAAUACAACAGGUGUAGUAGACCUAACAGUGAAAUGCUGAAUACAACAGGUGUAGUAGACCUCACAGUGAAAUGCUGAAUACAACAGGUGUAGUAGACCUCACAGUGAAAUGCUGAAUACAACAGGUGUAGUAGACCUCACAGUGAAAUGCUGUAUACAACAGGUGUAGUAGACCUUACAAUGAAAUGCUGAAUACAACAGGUGUAGUAGACCUAACAGUGAAAUGCUGAAUACAACAGGUGUAGUAGACCUCACAGUGAAAUGCUGAAUACAACAGGUGUAGUAGACCUUACAGUGAAAUGCUGAAUACAACAGGUGUAGUAGACCUUACAGUGAAAUGCUGAAUACAACAGGUGUAGUAGACCUCACAGUGAAAUGCUGA
Long non-coding RNA from Oncorhynchus keta (chum salmon), 493 nucleotides. RefSeq lists it as uncharacterized. The transcript has 3 exons. The record is from RefSeq and is a predicted model, not a curated record. NCBI's taxonomy places the organism in Eukaryota, Metazoa, Chordata, Actinopteri, Salmoniformes, Salmonidae.